Non-coding RNA from Piliocolobus tephrosceles (Ugandan red Colobus), 1252 nucleotides. The record is from the annotation of a RefSeq genome assembly. Lineage: Eukaryota; Metazoa; Chordata; Mammalia; Primates; Cercopithecidae.
AAUGUUUAAAGAGAAGGUUCAAGUUUCUUUCUGCACUAAAGAUCAUUAUGGGAUGGGCUCCUAAUAGGCCCAACCUAGAGAAAAAUCUGAGUUAUUGUUUGGUCAAAGAGGUUUACACAGAAGCCAGCUCUGAAUUACUUCUAAUGAGAAGAGCAAGGCUCCUGUUUUCACUUGUCAUUUAUCUUCUCUUGCCUUACUCUUUUCUCCUAUUUUGCUUUUUCUUAUCUCUUUCAAAAUUUUUCUCUCCUUCUUGAUGCAAAGCUAGAAGGAAAGGAAACUUUCCUUUUCUGUGCAUUUUCCCAUCCUAUUUCUCUUCUUUCUGUCUCUACAUUAAGAGAGCACAAAUCAUUUACAGCUUGGUCCACUCAGCCUGAAUCUUUUCCACUUGAUUCACAAACUUCUAUUUCUUCUCCUUUGAACCCCUGAUUUGCUCCCUAUGUCCCUCAUGGAGCGUGUAACCACCCAAAGUUUGGCCUAGGGGUAAGGCCAGGAAGCACCAGCUACUUGACAGUAAAGUCGCUGGUCCUACGUGUGGGCUGUAGGGGGCGAUGCAGUGUAAGGUCCUGGUACAGGAGGAGCAGCAGUCUUGCUCCCCACAGAGCUUUGAGGAGCUGGACCAAAAGUGUGCUCCACAGAGAGAAGAUACCGGUGUCGGGAAGCACCAGUGCCCUGAGGAAGGGCCAUUUCUAGAAGCCCCGUGCUGACACAGGAGUGCUGGUUCCUCCUCAAGAGCCCACUCUCUGGGGUGGGGCAAUAUCUCCAGCAGAGGUGGACUGGAAAGGACCCCCUCAACCCCGCCCGCCGUAAGCUUUGCUGGAGCCAUGGCCUCUGCACGCAUCUCGACGCUUGCGAUGCUCUUCACAUUGAGUGGGCUGAGAGCUCAGUUGGUGACUCAGCCAGAAGAUCAAGUCACGGUCGCUGAAGGAAAUCCUCUGACUGUGAAAUGCACCUAUUCAGUCUCUGGAAACCCUUAUCUUUUUUGGAGAAAAGAACUCAAACAACAUACCACUAUCUUUUCCACAUUAAUAAAUGUCAUCAAUACUCCUGAUGAACUUCCUCCAUCUACAUCUACUCUGAGGAAAAAGACAAUGAAAUGAAGGAAAUAAGGAACAAAAGUGGAGACAGAGGAAGUGGGAAAAAGGCAAGAAAAUGCUGGAGGAAAAAGGAGAAACAUUUUGUGUGGACUUCAAAAUAUGGCCCUCAGCACAUGUUCACAGCAAAGAAUCAGCUGUGUAGGUCUUUGGGAUGUAAA